RNAcentral lists this transfer RNA (55 nucleotides) under Strongyloides papillosus. RNAcentral's name for it is "tRNA-His". Lineage: Eukaryota; Metazoa; Nematoda; Chromadorea; Rhabditida; Strongyloididae. The record is from RNAcentral.
AGCUCUCUAGUAUAUUUAGUAUAUUUGUUUGUGGCACAAAGGGUUAGUGGAGCUU